CAGCGACCGCCUCACAGACGAGCUGUGGGAAGCAGGAGGGAGACUCUCUCUUAGGGUGCCACUACUAUGGAGACACAGCUGGGCUGAACAAGAUUUGCUUCAAACGACAACAAGAGAGACAGAAAGUAUCUGGUUCAACCGCUGCCCGAGCAGGCAGGCACCAGAAGAGCUAGCAGCCAAUCCGGCCAUGCUCGAAGCCAGCUCUGCAGCUCAGCCAAUCAGUGACAUCAUUGCUUUCUUUAGCUUGCCCAUGGUGAUGUGAAGAUGAGAAGAAAUAGCAAGGCCCAACCAGUUCUUCAUCUGGAGACAGUUCAACGUUCUGCAAACCAGAUCUUCAGGAAUUUUACUGGGAUAAUUAUCCAAAUAAAUUGCAAGCAUUCUAUCCAAAUGGAGCUCUUUCUGAGAUGAAGAGAAUUCUCAAUGUCAAGAUUUGAACAAGAAGAGAAUGGAAUACACAAUAUGGACAUCCAUAAAAAUUCAUCAGAGAGCAUUUUACUACUGAGCUGCAAAGGGAAAAACUUAAAAUGGAUAUGAAAAGUGAAGAAAGUGAUCAUAGGAGAAAACCAUUUCAGGUGUCUGAUGAUUUGUGAGCCUCAAGUGACUACUCUGUGGAAUCAUCUGUCCUUGCCUUUGAAUUAGCUUUCCCUAGGCCAUGAGUCAACAUUAGUAGUUUAUACAUCCAAAUUGAUGACAAGAGCACCUCAAAGGCAGCAGCCUCAAGGAGCAGCCAUGGCCCCAGACUUGUCGCACGGAUGCAGAAAACUUAAUGGAGGAGGCUGAGGUCAGAAUGGGAAGAGUUUUUAAAAAAUAAAAAGGGGAGCUAAUAUGUGAGGAA
RNAcentral lists this long non-coding RNA (835 nucleotides) under Homo sapiens (human). RNAcentral's name for it is "mir-99a-let-7c cluster host gene". Lineage: Eukaryota; Metazoa; Chordata; Mammalia; Primates; Hominidae. The record is from RNAcentral.